This 253-nucleotide ribosomal RNA is filed under the name uncultured bacterium. RNAcentral describes it as "partial 16S ribosomal RNA". It matches the Rfam family "Bacterial small subunit ribosomal RNA", at positions 524 to 776 of the family's 1533-position model. The record is from RNAcentral.
UACGUAGGUGGCAAGCGUUGUCCGGAUUUACUGGGCGUAAAGAGCGCGCAGGCGGUCGUUCAAGUCGCGUGUGAAAGCCCCCGGCUCAACUGGGGAGGGUCACGCGAUACUGAUCGACUCGAAGGCAGGAGAGGGUAGUGGAAUUCCCGGUGUAGUGGUGAAAUGCGAAGAUAUCGGGAGGAACACCAGUGGCGAAGGCGACUACCUGGCCUGUUCUUGACGCUGAGGCGCGAAAGCUAGGGGAGCAAACAGG